This 2102-nucleotide long non-coding RNA is filed under the name Ficedula albicollis (Collared flycatcher). RNAcentral's name for it is "lncRNA (ENSFALG00000024623.1)". Lineage: Eukaryota; Metazoa; Chordata; Aves; Passeriformes; Muscicapidae. The record is from RNAcentral.
CCCCACCAUAAAAGAAAGAACACAUCUAAAGGCUUUUCACAUAACCUUCUGGAAUUAUUAUUCAUCCUCAUUUCAUCCAUUCAUCCAUGUGGACUUCUUUCAAAAAAGAGUAGCCUUGCUGAAAAAAUGUCUCUCUGCCUUGUCCCUCUUCUGCCUCACAAUGCCCCUGACUCUGCUGCCUGGCUCCCCAAGCAAAGGCAAGGAAUGUUCAGGUGGUUGUGACAUCCCAGGCAAAAACAGCAGCUUGACUUUGAUGCACCCAUGGCAGCCAACAAAAGCUUUUCCACCGAGAGGGUUCAGGCUUCCAUCCUUUCUCAAACAACAAUCUCUUCACAGCCUUGUGCAUUAUCUUCCCUUCUGAAAAGACUUUUGUGCACGGGGAUGACUCCUGCUGCUCCUGAGAGAUCCUCAUGUCCUGUGACGUGGCAUUGUUGGGCCCUAACAGCACAGAAGAGCUGCAGAUGUGAGCCAGUACCUGCAGCCCUCAGGUGCUCAUCACACAGAGGGGGAGCAGCUCCUACAGAACAGCAUGUGGAUGUCAGCAGCAUCUGAGUGUACAAAAUGAAGAAAUUCUUCCUUUUACACUUUGUUUGGAUGCUCCAUCUGCAGCAGUGGAACAGGGAAGAAAUAAAACUGCUGAAUAACAGAGUCCUUAACAUUGCAGGCACUAAUAAUAGGAUUAGAGAGAGAAUAAAAUCAUAUCCUCUUGGAUUUGGAACAUUUGGAGGAAGCCAGCUUGUGACUCACUCUUCCAACAAGUUGAGAUCAGGCAUGUCACCGUGCUGACCUUCUGAAGGAGGAUCAGCCCAGCAGCCAGCACUGCCCAGGUGGUUCCAGCCCAUCCCUCCUGGAGCAGUGUGAGCAGAGGUGAUGCUACAUCACAGGCCCUGAGGCUCUUGCAGCAUGUCAGGCACUGCCAGCAUGCGAGGGAGGGAACUGGGUACGGGGGAGAGCAGAAGAAAUGCACACAAAGUGAGACACCUGCACUGUCUGUGCUCAUGGACACACUUCUGUCAGUGGGGGGAAGCACAGACACUCAGAUUGUCUCACCACUGGGGGAAGAAGGCUUCAAACCAUGAGCAUGGACCCAGGGGUUGCAGAGAAAGGAGACCAAAAAGCUUACACCACCUGAGCCAACAGCCCAGGAAGGAAUUAUAACCUUCCCAGUGCUGAGCGGGUAUCUGCUCAGUGGACACAAAGGUUCCCAUUGCAUCAUCAUGGGUAUCAUUUAGACUAAGAGAACUUACUAAAACCAGUAGAUGCAAGAAGAUGAGAAUUGGCAAAAAAAAGGGUUAUUUCUGUAUCAAGUACGGUUUGGGUACAGAAUUUUAAGGGAACCAAACAGACAGAGCAGUGUCCAGUUUCUAAUAUAAAGAUCCUAUCAUCCCCCACCUCAGUGAGAAAACUUUUCCAUGGUUAAGUGUGUCUUGUUAAGCAGUGAAUCUAGCCAAUCACAACAGAGUGCAAAGGGAAAAAAACCAUAAUAUUGCAAGAGGGAAAAUAACAGAGUAUGAUUAUUGAAUAGAAUAAUAAACAGCAGUGUGCACAUAGGCUCAAAAUAAAAUAAACAGCAUUGUUAAACUAAUGGCAAGGUACAACAUUCUUCUUCAAAUCAUCUUUUGCUUCAGCUUACUACAGAACAGGGUCUGGAAAAAAGCAUCUUCCUUAUUUAAAAAAUACAAUACAAAACAAAACAAAACAAAACCACAAAAACAAAACAAAACAAAAAACAAAACCAACAAAAGCCCACAAAAAACACCCAAACCCUGGCUGCAGCAUUUCCAAAACUGCUGCCUCAACCUGUUGGCAAAUGCCGACUUUAGAACAGCAACUAGUGUAUGUCUUCUUUUGUUCUGAGUUCUGAGAGCCACAGUGGGUGACUAAUGAAUAUUAGGAGCAAGAUUUUAAAAGAUGCUUGGUUAUAUCAUGAGAUAUAAUUUUUUCCCCUUAGAAUGGUGCUAGUGAACAAUAAGUGAGCAUUGAGGGAGCAGCUCUUAACAGCCGUGCACAAAACAAAAGAAAGACUGUGUUCCCAUCUAUUACUAAACUAAUGAAAUAGAAUAGAAAAAGCCAUAAGGCAAAAUGAAAAAAAAUCCCUCCUG